CUGCCAGUAGUCAUAUGCUUGUCUCAAAGAUUAAGCCAUGCAUGUGUAAGUAUAAAUAAAUUCAGACUGUGAAACUGCGAAUGGCUCAUUAAAUUAGUUAUAGUUUGUUUGAUGGUAUUUGCUACUCAAAAAACCGUAGUAAUUCUAGAGCUAAUACGUGCCACAAACCCCGACGUCUGAAAGGGAUGCAUUUAUUAGAUAAAAGGUCGACGCGGGCUUUGCCCGUUGCUCUGAUGAUUCAUGAUAACUCGACGGAUCGCACGUCCUUUGUGCCGGCGUCGCAUCAUUCAAAUUUUUGCCCUAUCAACUUUCGAUGGUAAGAUAGUGGCCUACUAUGGUGGUGACGGGUGACGGAGAAUUAGGGUUCGAUUCUAGAGAGAGAGCCUGAGAAACGGCUACCACAUCCAAGGAAGGCAGCAGGCGCACAAAUUACACAAUCCUGACACGGGGAGGUAGUGACAAUAAAUAACAAUACCGGGCUCUAUGAGUCUGGUAAUUG
This 499-nucleotide non-coding RNA is filed under the name Gossypium arboreum. Its description in RNAcentral is "Eukaryotic small subunit ribosomal RNA". It matches the Rfam family "Eukaryotic small subunit ribosomal RNA", at positions 14 to 511 of the family's 1831-position model. Lineage: Eukaryota; Viridiplantae; Streptophyta; Magnoliopsida; Malvales; Malvaceae. The record is from Rfam by way of RNAcentral.